RNAcentral lists this small nuclear RNA (103 nucleotides) under Triticum urartu. Lineage: Eukaryota; Viridiplantae; Streptophyta; Magnoliopsida; Poales; Poaceae. The record is from RNAcentral.
GUCCCUUCAGAGACAUCUGAUAAAAUUGGAACGAUACAGAGAAGAUUAGCAUGGCCCCUGCGUAAGGAUGACACGCACAAAUCGAGUAAUGGUUUAAUUUUUU